RNAcentral lists this transfer RNA (90 nucleotides) under Rickettsiales bacterium. RNAcentral's name for it is "tRNA-Ser". It matches the Rfam family "tRNA". Rfam says of the family: Transfer RNA (tRNA) molecules are approximately 80 nucleotides in length. Their secondary structure includes four short double-helical elements and three loops (D, anti-codon, and T loops). Further hydrogen bonds mediate the characteristic L-shaped molecular structure. tRNAs have two regions of fundamental functional importance: the anti-codon, which is responsible for specific mRNA codon recognition, and the 3' end, to which the tRNAs corresponding amino acid is attached (by aminoacyl-tRNA synthetases). tRNAs cope with the degeneracy of the genetic code in two manners: having more than one tRNA (with a specific anti-codon) for a particular amino acid; and 'wobble' base-pairing, i.e. permitting non-standard base-pairing at the 3rd anti-codon position. The record is from RNAcentral. Lineage: Bacteria; Pseudomonadati; Pseudomonadota; Alphaproteobacteria; Rickettsiales.
GGAUGGGUGGCUGAGUGGUCGAAAGCGGCGGUCUUGAAAACCGUUGGGCGUUUGCGCGUCCCGGGGGUUCGAAUCCCUCCCCAUCCGCCA